CAANGUAUGCUUUGGAAACUGUUAGACUNGAGUGCAGAAGGGGAGAGUGGAAUUCCAUGUGUAGCGGUGAAAUGCGUAGAUAUAUGGAGGAACACCGGUGGCGAAAGCGGCUCUCUGGUCUGUCACUGACGCUGAGGCUCGAAAGCGUGGGUAGCGAACAGGAUUAGAUACCCUGGUAGUNCACGCCGUAAACGAUGAGUGCUAGGUGUUAGGUCCUUUCCGGGACUUAGUGCCGCAGCUAACGCAAUAAGCACUCCGCCUGGGGAGUACGACCGCAAGGUUGAAACUCAAAGGAAUUGACGGGGGCCCGCACAAGCGGUGGAGCAUGUGGUUUAAUUCGAAGCAACGCGAAGAACCUUACCAGGUCUUGACAUCCCGAUGCCCGCUCUAGAGAUAGAGUUUUUCUUCGGAACAUCGGAGACAGGUGGUGCAUGGUUGUCGUCAGCUCGUGUCGUGAGAUGUUGGGUUAAGUCCCGCAACGAGCGCAACCCUUAUUGUUAGUUGCCAUCAUUGAGUUGGGCACUCUAGCGAGACUGCCGGUAAUAAACCGGAGGAAGGUGGGGAUGACGUCAAAUCAUCAUGCCCCUUAUGACCUGGGCUACACACGUGCUACAAUGGUUGGUACAACGAGUCGCAAGCCGGUGACGGCAAGCUAAUCUCUGAAAGCCAAUCUCAGUUCGGAUUGUAGGCUGCAACUCGCCUACAUGAAGUCGGAAUCGCUAGUAAUCGCGGAUCAGCACGCCGCGGUGAAUACGUUCCCGGGCCUUGUACACACCGCCCGUCACACCACGAGAGUUUGUAACACCCAAAGUCGGUGAGGUAACCAUAUAG
This 831-nucleotide ribosomal RNA is filed under the name uncultured bacterium. RNAcentral's name for it is "bacterial SSU rRNA". It matches the Rfam family "Bacterial small subunit ribosomal RNA", at positions 615 to 1446 of the family's 1533-position model. The record is from RNAcentral.